Molecule: ribosomal RNA, 987 nt
Filed under: Plasmodium knowlesi
Lineage: Eukaryota; Apicomplexa; Aconoidasida; Haemosporida; Plasmodiidae
Description: SSU rRNA
Rfam family: Eukaryotic small subunit ribosomal RNA
Source: RNAcentral
ACAUAACUGAUGCCUCCGCGUAUCGACUUUGUGCGCAUUUUAGCUAUUAUGUGUUCUUUUAAUUAAAAUGAUUCUUUUUAAGAUUCAUCUAUUAAAAAUUUGCCUCGGCAUAAUUUUUUUUGAUGAUCUUGUUACUUUGAGUAAAUUAGAGUGUUCAAAGCAAACAGAUAUAGCAUUUGUGCGUUUGAAUACUACAGCAUGGAAUAACAAAAUUGAACAAGUCAGAAUUUUUUUGUUCUUUUUUCUCAUUUUGGCUUAGUUACGAUUAAUAGGAGUAGCUUGGGGGCAUUUGUAUUCAGAUGUCAGAGGUGAAAUUCUUAGAUUUUCUGGAGACAAACAACUGCGAAAGCAUUUGCCUAAAAUACUUCCAUUAAUCAAGAACGAAAGUUAAGGGAGUGAAGACGAUCAGAUACCGUCGUAAUCUUAACCAUAAACUAUGCCGACUAGGCUUUGGAUGAAAGAUUUUAAAAUAAGAGUUUUUCUUUUCUCUCCGGAGAUUAGAACUCUUAGAUUGCUUCCUUCAGUGCCUUAUGAGAAAUCAAAGUCUUUGGGUUCUGGGGCGAGUAUUCGCGCAAGCGAGAAAGUUAAAAGAAUUGACGGAAGGGCACCACCAGGCGUGGAGCUUGCGGCUUAAUUUGACUCAACACGGGAAAACUCACUAGUUUAAGACAAGAGUAGGAUUGACAGAUUAAUAGCUCUUUCUUGAUUUCUUGGAUGGUGAUGCAUGGCCGUUUUUAGUUCGUGAAUAUGGUUUGUCUGGUUAAUUCCGAUAACGAACGAGAUCUUAACCUGCUAAUUAGCGGCAAAUACGAUAUAUUCUUAUGUAGAAUUGAAUAUAGUGGAUUUGUUAGAUUUUGAAGAAAAUAUUGGAAUUACGUUAAAUGUGAUUCCUUUCCCUUUUCUACUUAAUUUACAUUUCCAUCUAUUUCUUUUUUGCGUAUGAAUGUAUUUGCUUGAUUGUAAAGCUUCUUAGAGGAACGAUGUGUG